This 395-nucleotide unclassified non-coding RNA is filed under the name soil metagenome. RNAcentral describes it as "partial contains 5.8S ribosomal RNA, internal transcribed spacer 2, and large subunit ribosomal RNA". The stretch from base 1 to 122 matches the Rfam family "5.8S ribosomal RNA", at positions 35 to 154 of the family's 154-position model. The record is from RNAcentral.
GAUGAAGAACGCAGCGAAACGCGAUACUUGGUGUGAAUUGCAGAAUCCCGUGAACCAUCGAGUCUUUGAACGCAAGUUGCGCCCGAAGCCAUCAGGUUGAGGGCACGUCUGCCUGGGCGUCACAUAUCGUUGCCCAAUGCCUAUUGCAGUGCAAUAGGAAUUUCUAGGGCGAAUGAUGGCUUCCCGUGAGCGUUGUUGCCUCGCGGUUGGUUGAAAAUCGAGUCCUUGGUAGGGUGUGCCAUGGUAGAUGGUGGUCGAGUUAGAACGAUACCGAUCAUGUGCAUGCUCCCCAAAAUAUGGCCUCUAUGACCCACACGCGUCUUUUGACGCUCAUGACGAGACCUCAGGUCAGGCGGGGCUACCCGCUGAAUUUAAGCAUAUCAAUAAGCGGAGGA